GACGAACGCUGGCGGCGUGCUUAACACAUGCAAGUCGAACGGAAAGGCCCCCUUGUGGAGUACUCGAGUGGCGAACGGGUGAGUAACACGUGAGUAACCUACCCUUGACUUUGGGAUAACUUCAGGAAACUGGGGCUAAUACCGGAUAGGAGCUCCUGCUGCAUGGUGGGGGUUGGAAAGUUUCGGCGGUUGGGGAUGGACUCGCGGCUUAUCAGCUUGUUGGUGGGGUAGUGGCUCACCAAGGCUUUGACGGGUAGCCGGCCUGAGAGGGUGACCGGCCACAUUGGGACUGAGAUACGGCCCAGACUCCUACGGGAGGCAGCAGUGGGGAAUAUUGCACAAUGGGCGGAAGCCUGAUGCAGCAACGCCGCGUGCGGGAUGACGGCCUUCGGGUUGUAAACCGCUUUCGCCUGUGACGAAGCGUGAGUGACGGUAAUGGGUAAAGAAGCACCGGCUAACUACGUG
Molecule: ribosomal RNA, 465 nt
Filed under: uncultured bacterium
Lineage: Bacteria
Description: partial 16S ribosomal RNA
Rfam family: Bacterial small subunit ribosomal RNA
Source: RNAcentral